This 497-nucleotide ribosomal RNA is filed under the name uncultured bacterium. RNAcentral describes it as "partial 16S ribosomal RNA". It matches the Rfam family "Bacterial small subunit ribosomal RNA", at positions 28 to 507 of the family's 1533-position model. The record is from RNAcentral.
GAUGAACGCUGGCGGCGUGCCUAAUACAUGCAAGUCGAGCGAACGGACGAGAAGCUUGCUUCUCUGAUGUUAGCGGCGGACGGGUGAGUAACACGUGGAUAACCUACCUAUAAGACUGGGAUAACUUCGGGAAACCGGAGCUAAUACCGGAUAAUAUUUUGAACCGCAUGGUUCAAAAGUGAAAGACGGUUUUGCUGUCACUUAUAGAUGGAUCCGCGCUGCAUUAGCUAGUUGGUAAGGUAACGGCUUACCAAGGCAACGAUGCAUAGCCGGCCUGAGAGGGUGAUCGGCCACACUGGAACUGAGACACGGUCCAGACUCCUACGGGAGGCAGCAGUAGGGAAUCUUCCGCAAUGGGCGAAAGCCUGACGGAGCAACGCCGCGUGAGUGAUGAAGGUCUUCGGAUCGUAAAACUCUGUUAUUAGGGAAGAACAUAUGUGUAAGUAACUGUGCACAUCUUGACGGUACCUAAUCAGAAAGCCACGGCUAACUACGCG